GCCUGGGUGGCUCAGUCGGUUAAGCACCUGACUUUGGCUCAGGUCAUGAUGUCACAGUUCGUGGAUUCAAGCCCCACAUCAGGUU
This is a transfer RNA of Felis catus (domestic cat), 85 nucleotides long. It matches the Rfam family "tRNA". From Rfam's summary of the family: Transfer RNA (tRNA) molecules are approximately 80 nucleotides in length. Their secondary structure includes four short double-helical elements and three loops (D, anti-codon, and T loops). Lineage: Eukaryota; Metazoa; Chordata; Mammalia; Carnivora; Felidae. The record is from Rfam.